CCCCCCCCUUUUACAGAGAAUCAUUUCUAUAGUAGUCGUCCCUAGCUCUUGAUUUCUUAAUCAAGCUGCAGAACCUACGCCAGUUGAUGAUCAAAAUCCUCGCCUUCCAAGAGUGAAUAUCUAACUCUAUGGCAUGCCUCUGGCUGCCGUUUGCUCUCGACCUGCCCGAAAGGGUGGCGGUCUUCCUUUUGGAUGACUGUAUAGAGAGUGGUGAUGAUCUCAACCCCGAUUCGUGGUUCUUGUCCUUGUUGACUGGCCGCCGGGGUGGAUGUGUGAGGACGUCUGAUGGUC
This 291-nucleotide small nucleolar RNA is filed under the name Pestalotiopsis fici W106-1. Its description in RNAcentral is "Fungal small nucleolar RNA U3". It matches the Rfam family "Fungal small nucleolar RNA U3". From Rfam's summary of the family: Small nucleolar RNAs (snoRNAs) are involved in the processing and modification of rRNA in the nucleolus. There are two main classes of snoRNAs: the box C/D class, and the box H/ACA class. U3 snoRNA is a member of the box C/D class. The record is from Rfam by way of RNAcentral. Lineage: Eukaryota; Fungi; Ascomycota; Sordariomycetes; Amphisphaeriales; Sporocadaceae.